CGGGGGGGGCAAGCGUUGUUCGGAAUUACUGGGCGUAAAGGGUGCGUAGGCGGUCCGCUAAGUUGGAUGUUGAAAACUCUGGGCUUAACCAGAGCCUGCAUUCAAAACUGACGGGCUAGAGUUCUGGAGGGGGUAGCGGAAUUCCUGGUGUAGCGGUGAAAUGCGUAGAUAUCAGGAGGAACACCGGUGGCGAAGGCGGCUACCUGGACAGAAACUGACGCUGAGGCACGAAAGCUAGGGGGAGCAAACAGGAUUAGAUACCCUGGUAGUCCUAGCCCUAAACGAUGGAUACUUGGUGUGACUGGGAUUGAAUCCAGUCGUGCCGAAGCUAACGCAUUAAGUAUCCCGCCUGGGGAGUACGGUCGCAAGGCUG
RNAcentral lists this ribosomal RNA (373 nucleotides) under uncultured organism. RNAcentral describes it as "bacterial SSU rRNA". It matches the Rfam family "Bacterial small subunit ribosomal RNA", at positions 526 to 896 of the family's 1533-position model. The record is from RNAcentral.